AGUGAACGCUGGCGGUAGGCCUAACACAUGCAAGUCGAACGGCAGCACAGUAAGAGCUUGCUCUUACGGGUGGCGAGUGGCGGACGGGUGAGGAAUACAUCGGAAUCUACUUUUUCGUGGGGGAUAACGUAGGGAAACUUACGCUAAUACCGCAUACGACCUACGGGUGAAAGCAGGGGAUCUUCGGACCUUGCGCGAUUGAAUGAGCCGAUGUCGGAUUAGCUAGUUGGCGGGGUAAAGGCCCACCAAGGCGACGAUCCGUAGCUGGUCUGAGUGGAUGAUCAGCCAACCUGGAACUGAGACACGGUCCAGACUCCUACGGGAUGCAGCAGUGGGGAAUAUUGGACAAAGGGCUCAAGCCUGAUCCAGCCAUGCGUCGUGGGUGAAGAAGGCCUUCGGAUUGUAAAGCACUUUUGUUGGGAAGGAAAGGCAGCAAGUUAAUACCCCGCUGUUCUGACGGGACCCAAAGAAUAAGCACCGGCUAACUUCGUG
This 492-nucleotide ribosomal RNA is filed under the name uncultured bacterium. RNAcentral describes it as "partial 16S ribosomal RNA". It matches the Rfam family "Bacterial small subunit ribosomal RNA", at positions 29 to 507 of the family's 1533-position model. The record is from RNAcentral.